Schistosoma curassoni is the source of this 45-nucleotide non-coding RNA. The record is from Rfam. NCBI's taxonomy places the organism in Eukaryota, Metazoa, Platyhelminthes, Trematoda, Strigeidida, Schistosomatidae.
AUCUAGCUGACGAGUCCGACAUAGGACGAAGUGCGCGUCAUGGAU